GUGACACCUUGGUGUUUGUUAUGUGGGAAAGUACUAAUUAAGUCUGAGGCAACAACACAGGUGGUGGGAUUCUUUUGCACUGUGAGUUGAGUUUUCUUGCAGAUAUACAUGCAAGCUUUCCAAAACAUUUGACCUGGUUGAGAUAUUUUGAACGGUUUUUGAUUGAGAAGAGCUAUCUAGUCAUCUGUCACUGUUUGACUGCUAAAGCGCGGCCUCUUUCACCCUAGGCUGUAUUGGCAGAAAGUAACCAGCUCAAGUGAAGGUACUUUACCCAAGUGAACAAUUUACCUCUGACCUUUCAC
This is a long non-coding RNA of Liolophura sinensis, 302 nucleotides long. RefSeq lists it as uncharacterized. The transcript has 4 exons. Lineage: Eukaryota; Metazoa; Mollusca; Polyplacophora; Chitonida; Chitonidae. The record is from RefSeq and is a predicted model, not a curated record.